RNAcentral lists this ribosomal RNA (253 nucleotides) under uncultured bacterium. Its description in RNAcentral is "partial 16S ribosomal RNA". It matches the Rfam family "Bacterial small subunit ribosomal RNA", at positions 524 to 776 of the family's 1533-position model. The record is from RNAcentral.
UACGUAGGGGGCAAGCGUUGUCCGGAAUCAUUGGGCGUAAAGCGCGUGUAGGCGGCUCGGUAAGUCCGCUCUGAAAGCCCGGGGCUCAACCCCGGGAGGCGGGUGGAUACUGCUGAGCUCGAGUCCGGAAGAGGCGAGUGGAAUUCCUGGUGUAGCGGUGAAAUGCGCAGAUAUCAGGAGGAACACCGAUGGCGAAGGCAGCUCGCUGGGACGGUACUGACGCUGAGACGCGAAAGCGUGGGGAGCAAACAGG